RNAcentral lists this RNase P RNA (391 nucleotides) under Elstera litoralis. Its description in RNAcentral is "Bacterial RNase P class A". It matches the Rfam family "Bacterial RNase P class A". Rfam says of the family: Ribonuclease P (RNase P) is a ubiquitous endoribonuclease, found in archaea, bacteria and eukarya as well as chloroplasts and mitochondria. Its best characterised activity is the generation of mature 5'-ends of tRNAs by cleaving the 5'-leader elements of precursor-tRNAs. The record is from Rfam by way of RNAcentral. Lineage: Bacteria; Pseudomonadati; Pseudomonadota; Alphaproteobacteria; Rhodospirillales; Rhodospirillaceae.
CCAGACGGCUGGAUGACCGCGCGUCGCUGCAAGCGACGGGAGGAAAGUCCGGGCUCCACGGAAAUAGGGUGCCGGGUAACGCCCGGCGGGGGCGACCCUAGGGAUAGUGCCACAGAAAGCAAACCGCCAUGUCCGCCUUCGGGCGCACACGGUAAGGGUGAAAGGGUGCGGUAAGAGCGCACCGCGCGACCGGCAACGGAAGCGGCACGGUAAACCCCACCCGGAGCAAAACCGAAUAGGAAGGGCAGGCCCCCUUGCGGGGUACAGCGCAUUUCCGCGCCGCUCUUCGGGUUGGUUGCGAGAGGUGAUCGGCAACGAUCAUCCCAGAGGAAUGGUCAUCCACGGGCCGCAAGGCCCCGGACAGAACCCGGCUUACAGGCCGUCUGGUAUU